AAGAAAACUGGAUAUUGCAGGAGCAGGAGAAGCUCGCUAUGGUUGUUUAUCAACAGCCUACGGAAGAAGAUGCUGACCAAGUCGAAUUUUCUCCAUUGAUGAUGGUGAGGCCAGAGAGCGAGGAGACUGCCCAAGAAAGGCGUCCAGCCUUUCGUUACGAUCAACGACCAGAGAUAACUAAAUUUUAUACAAGAAGAGCGAGACCAGCAGGUUCGAAGCCUGCCAAGAGCAAGAUAGAGCA
Molecule: long non-coding RNA, 241 nt
Organism: Lolium rigidum
Lineage: Eukaryota; Viridiplantae; Streptophyta; Magnoliopsida; Poales; Poaceae
Exons: 3
Source: RefSeq, a predicted model, not a curated record